AUGGGGAAGAAGAACUGCUCGGUGGUGACUGAAUUCAUCUUGUUGGGGAUUCCCCACACAAAGGGGCUGGAGACUCUGCUUUUUGUCUUGUUCUUGCCCUUCUAUGCCUGCACCCUGCUGGGAAAUGUGUCCAUCCUGGUGGCUAUUCUUUCUUCCACUCACCUUCACACACCCGUGUAUUUUUUCCCGGGGAACUUGUCUGUGUUUGACAUGAGUUUCUCUUCUGUGACCCGUCUUAAAAUGCUACUGUACCUCAUGGGACUGAGCCCACUCAUUUCCUAUGAGAACUGUGUCUCCCAGCUCUUCUUCUUCCAUUUCCUUGGCAACACUGAAUGCUUCUUGUACACCGUGAUGGCCUACGACCGCUUCACUGCUAUCUGCUACCCUCUGCGGUACACAGUCAUCAUGAGCCCUAGAAUCUGUGGGGCUCUGGCUGUGGGCACAUGGCUGUUAGGGUGUAUCCAUUCCAGUAUCUUGACUUUGCUCACUUUCACUUUGCCAUACUGUGGUCCUAAUGAAGUGGAUCACUUCUUCUGUGAUAUUCCAGCACUCUUGCCAUUGGCCUGUGCUGAUGUAUCCUUAGCCCAGAGGGUGAGUUUCACCAACGUUGGCCUGGUAUCUCUCCUCUGCUUUCUCCUAACCUCUUAUCCUACACUCGAAUCACCAUCUCCAUCUUGCAUAUUCCUUCAGCUGAGGGCCGCUGCCGGGCCUUCUCCACUUGCAGUGCCCACCUCAUUGCCAUCCUUUGUGCCUACGGGCACAUCAUCACUGUCUACCUGCAGCCCACGCCUAACCCCGUGCUGGGCACUGUGGUUCAAAUUCUGAUGAAUCUGGUAGGACCAAUGCUGAACCCUUUAAUCUAUACUUUGAGGAAUAAAGAAGUUAAAACAGCCCUGAAAAUAAUUUUGCACAGGACAAACCACGUUCCUGAGAGUUAG
This is an RNA transcript of Odobenus rosmarus divergens (Pacific walrus), 938 nucleotides long. It is a transcript of the gene named putative olfactory receptor 10D3-like, with no coding region annotated. The transcript has a single exon. Lineage: Eukaryota; Metazoa; Chordata; Mammalia; Carnivora; Odobenidae. The record is from RefSeq and is a predicted model, not a curated record.